This 464-nucleotide ribosomal RNA is filed under the name uncultured bacterium. RNAcentral describes it as "partial 16S ribosomal RNA". It matches the Rfam family "Bacterial small subunit ribosomal RNA", at positions 339 to 795 of the family's 1533-position model. The record is from RNAcentral.
CUACGGGAGGCAGCAGUGGGGAAUAUUGCACAAUGGGCGCAAGCCUGAUGCAGCCAUGCCGCGUGUAUGAAGAAGGCCUUCGGGUUGUAAAGUACUUUCAGCGGGGAGGAAGGGAGUAAAGUUAAUACCUUUGCUCAUUGACGUUACCCGCAGAAGAAGCACCGGCUAACUCCGUGCCAGCAGCCGCGGUAAUACGGAGGGUGCAAGCGUUGAUCGGAAUUACUGGGCGUAAAGCGCACGCAGGCGGUUUGUUAAGUCAGAUGUGAAAUCCCCGGGCUCAACCUGGGAACUGCAUCUGAUACUGGCAAGCUUGAGUCUCGUAGAGGGGGGUAGAAUUCCAGGUGUAGCGGUGAAAUGCGUAGAGAUCUGGAGGAAUACCGGUGGCGAAGGCGGCCCCCUGGACGAAGACUGACGCUCAGGUGCGAAAGCGUGGGGAGCAAACAGGAUUAGAUACCCUAGUAAUC